GAUUUUGGGCCGAAUGCCAUAAUC
Molecule: non-coding RNA, 24 nt
Filed under: Arabidopsis thaliana (thale cress)
Lineage: Eukaryota; Viridiplantae; Streptophyta; Magnoliopsida; Brassicales; Brassicaceae
Source: RNAcentral